This 928-nucleotide ribosomal RNA is filed under the name Helvella capucina. RNAcentral's name for it is "partial large subunit ribosomal RNA". It matches the Rfam family "Eukaryotic large subunit ribosomal RNA", at positions 23 to 961 of the family's 3401-position model. Lineage: Eukaryota; Fungi; Ascomycota; Pezizomycetes; Pezizales; Helvellaceae. The record is from RNAcentral.
ACCCGCUGAACUUAAGCAUAUCAAUAAGCGGAGGAAAAGAAACCAACAGGGAUUGCCCCAGUAACGGCGAGUGAAGCGGCAGUAGCUCAAAUUUGAAAUCUGGGGUCCCCGACCUCCGAGUUGUAAUUUGGAGAGGCAUCUUCGGGGGGGAGCGCCGGCCCAUGUUCCUUGGAACAGGACGUCGCAGAGGGUGAGAAUCCCGUGCCAGGCCGGCUCCCUCCUCCCGGGUGAAGCGCCUUCGACGAGUCGAGUUGUUUGGGAAUGCAGCUCCAAGUGGGUGGUAAGUUUCAUCUAAAGCUAAAUACCGGCGGGAGACCGAUAGCGCACAAGUAGAGUGAUCGAAAGAUGAAAAGCACUUUGAAAAUAGAGUCAAAAAGUACGUGAAAUUGUUGAAAGGGAAGCGCUUGAGACCAGACUCAGGCCCGGGCAAACACCGCGCCCCCCCGGGGCCGUGCAAUUGCCUGGGGCUGGGCCAGCAUCAGUCGGCGUGGCGGGAAAAAGGCGCGGGUAAUGUGGCUCCCCUCGGGGAGUGUUACCAGCCCCGCGCUCAAUGCCGCCGACGCCGACUGAGGACCGCGCCUCGGCUAGGAUGCUGGCUUAAUGGCCUUCAGCGACCCGUCUUGAAACACGGACCAAGGAGUCUAACAUCUAUGCGAGUGUUUGGGCGCCAAACCCUUGCGCGGAAUGAAAGUGAGCGGAGGUGGGAACCCCCCAGCGGGGCGCACCAUCGACCGAUCCUGAUGUCUUCGGAUGGAUUUGAGUAGGAGCAUAGCUGUUGGGACCCGAAAGAUGGUGAACUAUGCCUGAAUAGGGUGAAGCCAGAGGAAACUCUGGUGGAGGCUCGCAGCGGUUCUGACGUGCAAAUCGAUCGUCAAAUUUGGGUAUAGGGGCGAAAGACUAAUCGAACCAUCUAGUAGCUGGUUCCUGC